This 253-nucleotide ribosomal RNA is filed under the name uncultured bacterium. RNAcentral describes it as "partial 16S ribosomal RNA". It matches the Rfam family "Bacterial small subunit ribosomal RNA", at positions 524 to 776 of the family's 1533-position model. The record is from RNAcentral.
UACGUAGGUGGCAAGCGUUGUCCGGAUUUAUUGGGUUUAAAGGGUGCGUAGGCGGCUUUGUAAGUCAGUGGUGAAAUAUGGCAGCUUAACUGUCAGGGUGCCAUUGAUACUGCAGAGCUUGAGUACAGAUGAGGUAGGCGGAAUUGACGGUGUAGCGGUGAAAUGCUUAGAUAUCGUCAAGAACACCUAUAGCGAAGGCAGCUUACUAGGCCGUAACUGACGCUGAGGCACGAAAGUGUGGGGAUCAAACAGG